AGAUUGAACGCUGGCGGCAGGCCUAACACAUGCAAGUCGAGCGGCAGCACGGGUACUUGUACCUGGUGGCGAGCGGCGGACGGGUGAGUAAUGCCUAGGAAUCUGCCUGAUAGUGGGGGAUAACGCUCGGAAACGGACGCUAAUACCGCAUACGUCCUACGGGAGAAAGCAGGGGACCUUCGGGCCUUGCGCUAUCAGAUGAGCCUAGGUCGAUUAGCUAGUUGGUGGGUAUGGCUCACC
RNAcentral lists this ribosomal RNA (240 nucleotides) under uncultured soil bacterium. Its description in RNAcentral is "partial 16S ribosomal RNA". It matches the Rfam family "Bacterial small subunit ribosomal RNA", at positions 26 to 269 of the family's 1533-position model. The record is from RNAcentral.